RNAcentral lists this long non-coding RNA (1096 nucleotides) under Phasianus colchicus (ring-necked pheasant). Its description in RNAcentral is "lncRNA (ENSPCLG00000002071.1)". The record is from RNAcentral. Lineage: Eukaryota; Metazoa; Chordata; Aves; Galliformes; Phasianidae.
GUCAUUUUGGGACAUUUUUUGGAUAAUUUUGGGAACAUUUGGGGGCAUAUGGGGAUAUUUGGGUCAUUUUGGGGUCAUUUCAGGCUCAUUUUGAUCAUUUGGGGUCAUUUUGGGUCACUUUUGGUUCAUUUUAGGCACAGUUUGGGGCAUUUUGGGUCAUUUUGGGACAUUUUUGGGAUAAUUUUGGGUCAUUUUGGGAAGAUUUUUGGGGACAAUUUGGGUCAUUUUGGGUCAUUUUGGGAGCUUUCGAUCAUUUUUGGGGUCAUUUUGGGUCAUUUUGGGGUCAUUUUAGGCACAGCUUGGGGCAUUUUGGGGUCAUUUUGGGGCAUUUUGGGGGCGAUUUUGGGUCAAUUUGGGUCAUUUUGGGGUCGUUUGUGGGCAUAUUUGGGCCAUUUUGGGACCAUUUGGGGUCAUUUUGGGUCAUUCUGGGACAGUUUUUGGAUAAUUUUGGGAACAUUUUGGGUCAUUUCAGGCUCAAUUUGGGUCAUUUUGGGUCUUUUGGGGAGAGUUUGGGGCAUAUUUGGGCCAUUUGGGUCAUUUUGGGUCAUUUUGGGACAUUUUUUGGAUAAUUUUGGGUCAUUUGGGUAAGAUUUUUGGGGACAAUUUGGGUCAUUUGGGGUCAUUUUGGGAUCUUUCGAUCAUUUUUGGGGUCAUUUUUGGGCAGAUUUGGGACAUUUUGGGGCCAUUUGGGGUCAUUUGGGGUCAUUUUGGGAUCUUUCCAUCAUUUUUGGGAUCAUUUUGAGUCAUUCUGGUCACAUUUUGGGCCGUUUUGUCUCAUUUUGACUCUUUAUUUUUUGAUAUUUUCAUUCAUUUCGUGGCCCCCAUUGACAGAACCAUUUUUUUUUCUACUCUUUUUCCACCACCGUUUUGGGUCCAAUUCUGACGAUUUCGGUUCAAAACCAAAACCCAUCACCACCACCACCAAAACCCAACAUCAUUUUGGGGCAAAUUCAGACCUUUUUGGGUUUUUUUGCCCCCCAUGGGACGGCUGUGCCGCUGCCGAAAACGUCGCAAAGGGAUCCGGAAGAUUCGGGUCCCCCCCCAGGUGGGUUUGGAGCCUCAAUUUUGGGUCAAAUUCCAGCGAUUUUGGGUCCUA